AGCUCCAAUAGCGUAUAUUAAAGUUGUUGCGGUUAAAAAGCUCGUAGUUGGAUUUCUGUUGAGGUCGGUCGGUGUGCACCUCGUGCAUUAUUUGAUUCGGUCUCGGCAUCCUCCUGGGGAACGUUUAGGACUUUAUUGGACUAGGCGAGAUUCAGGACUUUUACUUUGAGGAAAUUAGAGUGUUCACGGCAAGCAAGCGCGGGAAUACAUUAGCAUGGAAUAAUAAUAUAGGACCUUCGUUCUAUUUUGUUGGUUUCUAGAACUUAGGUAAUGAUUAAUAGGGACAAUUGGGGGCAUUCGUAUUAACGCGUCAGAGGUGGAAUUCUUGGAUUGCGUUACGACGAACUACUGCGAAAGCAUUUGCCAAAGAUGUUUUCA
RNAcentral lists this ribosomal RNA (378 nucleotides) under uncultured eukaryote. Its description in RNAcentral is "SSU rRNA". It matches the Rfam family "Eukaryotic small subunit ribosomal RNA", at positions 587 to 972 of the family's 1831-position model. The record is from RNAcentral.